UAAAAACCCCGACUUCGGAAGGGGUGUAUUUAUUAGAUACAAAACCAAUGCCCUUCGGGGCUCUUUGGUGAUUCAUGAUAACUAUACGAAUCGCACGGCCUUGCGCCGGCGAUGGUUCAUUCAAAUUUCUUCCCUAUCAACUUUCGAUGUUUGGGUAUUGGCCAAACAUGGUUGCAGCGGGUAACGGAGGGUUAGGGCUCGACCCCGGAGAAGGAGCCUGAGAAACGGCUACUACAUCCAAGGAAGGCAGCAGGCGCGCAAAUUACCCAAUCCCGACUCGGGGAGGUAGUGACAAUAAAUACUGAUACAGGGCCCUUUCGGGCCUUGUAAUUGGAAUGAGUACAAUUUAAAUCCCUUAACGAGGAACAAUUGGAGGGCAAGUCUGGUGCCAGCAGCCGCGGUAAUUCCAGCUCCAAUAGCGUAUAUUAAAGUUGUUGUGGUUAAAGAGCUCGUAGUUGAACCUUGGGCCUGGCUGGCCGGUCCGCCUCACCGCGUGCACUGGUCCGGCCGGGCCUUUUCCUCUGUGGAACACCCCACUCCUCACUGGGGGUGGUGGGGGAAAAACAGGACAAUUAC
This 576-nucleotide ribosomal RNA is filed under the name uncultured eukaryote. RNAcentral describes it as "SSU rRNA". It matches the Rfam family "Eukaryotic small subunit ribosomal RNA", at positions 174 to 755 of the family's 1831-position model. The record is from RNAcentral.